CUGUAAUGCCUCUGUAAAGCCACCUUUCAACAUGCUCCAUUUGCUGUGCUUUCAAAGACUCAGCUGUAUUAUUGCCUUCAUAAGAUUCAGCCCCAAAAGAAAAAUAGAAGAUGGAAGCACCAACCAUAUCAGGAAUUUGGUAGAGAAUUUGACCCAUCUCUUCUAGAGAUGAUCCACCCUUUUUUGAUGCAACCGUUUCUUGUACUUUCAGAAAUAAAGUUAAAACUAACACUUGAUUGAAGAAAAAAAAACAAUAAAGAGAG
This 263-nucleotide long non-coding RNA is filed under the name Mustela putorius furo (domestic ferret). Its description in RNAcentral is "lncRNA (ENSMPUG00000031507.1)". Lineage: Eukaryota; Metazoa; Chordata; Mammalia; Carnivora; Mustelidae. The record is from RNAcentral.